GACAGAGGUGCCAAGCGUUAGGCGGAAUCACUGGGCUUAAAGCGUGUGUAGGUGGACUGGUAAGUACUUUGUGAAAUCCCACGGCUUAACCGUGGAACUGCUUGGUAUACUGCUGGUCUUGAGCAACCUAGGGGCGAGCGGAACAAAUGGUGGAGCGGUGAAAUGCGUAGAUAUCAUUUGGAACGCCAAUGGUGAAAACAGCUCGCUAGGGGUUCGCUGACACUGAGACACGAAAGCCAGGGGAGCAAACGGG
Molecule: ribosomal RNA, 253 nt
Filed under: uncultured bacterium
Lineage: Bacteria
Description: partial 16S ribosomal RNA
Rfam family: Bacterial small subunit ribosomal RNA
Source: RNAcentral